UACGGAGGAUCCAAGCGUUAUCCGGAUUUAUUGGGUUUAAAGGGUGCGUAGGCGGGUCGAUAAGUCAGUGGUGAAAGCCUGCAGCUUAACUGCAGAAUUGCCGUUGAUACUGUCGGUCUUGAAUACAGUUGAGGUGGGCGGAAUGUGUCAUGUAGCGGUGAAAUGCUUAGAUAUGACACAGAACACCGAUUGCGAAGGCAGCUUGCUAAACUGUAAUUGACGCUGAGGCACGAAAGCGUGGGUAGCAAACAGG
Molecule: ribosomal RNA, 253 nt
Filed under: uncultured bacterium
Lineage: Bacteria
Description: partial 16S ribosomal RNA
Rfam family: Bacterial small subunit ribosomal RNA
Source: RNAcentral